ACUUCCCCUAGAGGCAUUGCAGAUGGGGCAGCUGUGUCACAUUUGUGUCUUUAGGUGGCAGAGAGAAGAGAGGCUAUGUCUACAUUCAGUGUUCUGACCCAUGAAUGUUUGAAUGAUUAAUAGUCUGACAUA
RNAcentral lists this small nucleolar RNA (132 nucleotides) under Propithecus coquereli (Coquerel's sifaka). Its description in RNAcentral is "Small nucleolar RNA SNORA17 (ENSPCOG00000001830.1)". It matches the Rfam family "Small nucleolar RNA SNORA17". Rfam says of the family: snoRNA ACA 17 belongs to the H/ACA family of snoRNAs and is predicted to guide pseudouridylation of the 28S rRNA at positions U4659 and U4598. Lineage: Eukaryota; Metazoa; Chordata; Mammalia; Primates; Indriidae. The record is from Rfam by way of RNAcentral.